Non-coding RNA from Acanthosepion pharaonis, 98 nucleotides. NCBI's taxonomy places the organism in Eukaryota, Metazoa, Mollusca, Cephalopoda, Sepiida, Sepiidae. The record is from the annotation of a GenBank genome assembly.
UUGCGGCGAUACCACGCUGUAACACCGGUUCCCGUACGAUUACCGAAGUUAAGCAACGUCGAUCCUGGUUAAUAGCUAGAUGGUUAACCGUUUGGGUG